CACACAUCCUCCUCCAGCAGCACCGCCGCUGGCUCUGGAUCGGCUUGUUUGGACUGGGAGCAGCUCCGGGCCGGGCCGGGCCGGGCCGGGCCGGGUCAAAGGAGCGCAGUGGGAGGACAGCCAGCUCUGGCGGCUGCUGCUCCUCUCCAAGACAACUGUUGACGGGCCAGAGAGGCCCAACUGGGCCAGAGCCGGCCACGCUCAAUAGUCCCCAUUGACCGGGAACUUCCUGGAGGCAGCGGCUCGCAGAGAAAAUAAGUGCAGAAGAACAAGAAGAUGAGAGAAAAGAAGAGGAAGAGGAGAGGGAGGAUGGGAAGAAAGGCGGAGGAGAGGGAUGUCAGGACGGACAAAGAGGACGAGGAGGAGAGGAAACGAGGUGAAGACAAAAAAAGGACAAGAUAAGGACGAGACUGAAGAAGCAAAUGGCAGGAUUUGAAAUUAAGACUUCCACCUGCUGCUGGAGAUGUAAACCCAUUAGGAUUCAUCUUUUUUGCACCAUGAACGUCUGCAGAAACUUCCAUUACAGUCCAUCCUGCAGUCAGUCUGGAACAAAAGUGGUGAACUGACAAACUGACGGAGCCGUCAGAAUUACAUAUUUGUUCAGACAGGAAGAGAAAAGAAAA
Long non-coding RNA from Amphiprion ocellaris (clown anemonefish), 623 nucleotides. RefSeq lists it as uncharacterized. Lineage: Eukaryota; Metazoa; Chordata; Actinopteri; Pomacentridae. The transcript has 2 exons. The record is from RefSeq and is a predicted model, not a curated record.